UAGUUGUCCCUCCCUCUCUCCAUGAGGAAGUGAAAGUAAAAUCUGUGUUCUGUUUCAAUAUGGCGUUGUUGCUGGCGUUGUUGAAAGAAGAACCUGCGUAGCUCGUUUAUUUAUUUAAACGUUUAUUUAACUGACAAGAAAUAUUUUUUCAUCUUUAAGAGUUUCUAAAAGAGUCUUACAGUCAUCAUGUCCCUCCUUUAUAUUUACAUCCUUUUGGUCACUGCCUGUGUGGACAGUGCAGAAUCUCUGGUUACUGUAUCAGCUCCAGUGGGUUCCACAGUCCUCCUGCCAUGUAAACUGACUGAAGUCUUCACCCAAACAUCACUUAUUCAGUGGAAGAUCAACAACAAAGGUCUUGUGUUUGAGAGAAGCAGUGAUGCUACGAGUUCAGGUUCAGGAUAUGAAGGCCGUGUGGAUAUUCUUCUGGAUGAACUACAUAAAGGAAACUGUUCCCUGGUGUUGAAGAACGUCAGAAUCACUGAUGACCAUUUAUACAAAACCUUUACAGUGGAACAUGUGGACAGUACUAACCCUACAGAGGCUAAAGAAAUCGCCAGUGUUAGACUCUCAGUCGAUGUCCUUCAGUUAUCAGCUCGAGUGGGUUCCACAGCUGUCCUGCCGUGUGAAUGGAGCCAUCUGUCCAUCCAGACACCUCAUGUUGAGUGGGUUAUCGAUUCUGAGACUGUGUUUGAGCGAAAGGGUAAAGAGUCAUUUCAGGGUGAAGGAUAUGAGGGCCGUGUGGACGUUCCUGAGGACGAGCUGCUUAAAGGAAACUGUUCCCUGGUGUUGAAGAACGUCAGUGUUACUGAUGCAGGAAACUACAGCAGCUCCAUGCUAGUGAAAGACACACAGGAAUCUGUCUCGGUCCAGAAGAUUAAACUGUCAGUUGAUGAUGAGACUCGUUCUUCAUUGGAGGAUUCAGAUUCACACCAGACUGGAGGGAACAACUGGAUUAUCUGGUUAUGUGUUGGGAUUGGAAUUGUAAUCAUCAUCAUCAUCAUCAGUGUGUUUGUGGGCUACAAGUUUAAUGGUAAAACUGGUUCUUUUUAUUAUUUAAAAAAAAAAAAAAACCCUAAUGGAUUUGGUUGAAGUUCAGGUGGGUAUUUUACAGAAACAUGGCAACCCUCUCCACCUUUUUUGGGUCAGUGUAAUAUAAAGGUGCAUGUUAGGCAAGAACAGAAACUUCGAUGGAAAGUUUUUUGUUUUUUUUUCCUUUUUUUAACUUUAUACUUCUGGUCAUACUGAGUUUCUUGUAUUUAAGCACUUCACUGCUUUUUUGCUCACAGAGCAUUUUCUGAGCACAGAAUUAUCUUGAUAGGUGUCAAUUAUUUACUUCUUUUCACUUUUGAACGAUUAUUCAACAAAUCAUUAACUCUACAUACACACACAAAUGAGAGAGAGAGAGAGAGAAUAUAUAUUCAGACCAUUACACUUGUCUGAUGGAGAAAAGGAGAGGACAUUGUUCUGCUCUGAUCUCUUCAUGGAAAACAGAUCAUCUUGAACUUAAUCCCUGCAAGACUGAGCUUCUGUUCAUCCCUGGAGCUCCAUCACCAUGUCAGGAUCUUCUGAUUGAUCUGGAGAACUCUCAGACCGGACAAACCAACUACUCUUCUAACUAACCUGACCUGGUCAUGGCUUCUCCUCUAUGUAGCAGGGAUUUGUUGUUACACCAGAUUAUGAAUAUUUCUAUUAAUAUUGAAUUUUUUUGUGUGUGUUUUAUAAGGGGUUUGUUAUGUAUAGAUUGCAGCAAUGGGUACAGCAUGUAUGUUGGCUGAUGUCAUGUGUAUGAUAAAACUUUAUAGUUGAGGUGGAAUCUGGGUUCAGUUCCUUUCAGCAAUGCCCUGGGGACAGGUAUCUGACAGUUAGAUAAUUUUGUUAAAGAAUUUCCUUCAGGAUCUAGUUCUAUCUUGUCUUAUCUUUAUUUUAAUACAAAUUUUAUUUAUACAUUUUAUUACAAGUUAUUACCAGCAAAACGAUCAUCAUGUUUGGGGAUAAAUAACAUAAUGUACUGUAAUUUUGUAAUGUACUUAAAUUUUAUUACAGGCAAGUUUUUUACUAUCACUGUGUGUGUGUGUGAUCUAAGACAAGACUUACUUAACACAGGUCACAGCUCAGCAAGGUGAAAUUCUUUCACAUAUCCCAACUUGGAGAGGUUGGAGAAAGGGGCCAGAAGAACGGUCACUGAAUCUCCUCACUCACUGAAUGAAUAACUUGUGUAUUAAUAAUUGAAAGGCAAUUCAAAUUUAUUUGGAUAAUCACUUUAACAGUAGCCAUUUCCAUAAAACUUAAAAGCCCUGAUUUUUGCUCAAUGAGCAAACUACAACUACUUGAAGAGUACAAACAUGUGUUCUAACUGUGUGUGCUAUUUUUAGUUAUUUACUGAACAAAAACAAAUGUUGGUUAUAAAACUUGGUCCAAUAAAUGAAUAAAUCUUUAUUAGGAAGCAUUUGCAGUUUGUUUGAUAAACAUAAAAGUGAAGCUGAUCACCCAUGGCCUUUACAGUAACCAGAUUUGAAUAUUUUGGAGCCACUUUGGGGUGUUUUGGAGGAGCAGGUCAGGAAACCUUCACAAGCCCGAGAAAUGGCUUAAGAAACAGCAACAUUCUGAGCAUACGAGUAAGUUCCUGGGGCAUCAGGGUGUGUCUAUAACAUUAUAAAUCACUGGGUGAGGCUGGGCCACAGAUCCAGCAGUCGUGUAUGUCAGGUUCUGGGAAAGUAAACCAGUGAAUAUUUAUUUACCGUCAUACAUACUGGGCAUACCGUGCCAUCUGUCUACCUAUACUGAUAAUAAACAUUAGGAACAGAUGACACCUUAAUGCCAGAUGAUCCAGAUUAGAGAUGUUAUAAAGAGUCAUGUCCAUUGAUACUGAUCAACAUCAGAGAAAAACACUUGCCAUGGCUCUCUGUCUGGAUGAAAGGGAACAGACCAGAACCAAUUAGCCAUAUCAAUACCUGAAAACACCAUCUGUGAUUUUGGAAUGCCAUCAAAAACACUUCUUGCUGCAGGAGAGAAUGCUCUGCUGGAAAUCAGUUACUAUAUGCUGAAUUCCCUCAACAGUUUUCCUUGAAAGAGGAUACUGUUUAUAAUCAGAGGUGUAUCUGUAAGAUGAUCUGGUUCUGUGUCCACUCACCUGCAGUCCUGUUCAUUCUUCUCAUUCAUGAUCAAAGUCUUGUUCUUUGAAUUCAUGUUUGUACAUAAGCUCACUAUUACCUGAAGUUUUUCCAUUACCUAAAGACUAUUCAGUGCCAUAGGUCAGUAGGUCAGUGUGAAAUUUGACUGGGAGCCAAUGCAGUGUGGAUAAGAUUGGAAUGAUGUGUUCAUAUCUUCUCGAUAUGUUCAUAUCUGCUGCGUUCUGAACUAGUGUCUCUGCAUCAUUUUAUGACUUAAUGAAUUUAGUGAUUAAAUGAAAAUUGAUUAGGUGUAAGCACACACAAUGCUUAAUUAUUAUAAUGAAAACUUUAUUACAGAAACCUAAUUGAGGUGCAGCUACAGCUCAUACAGAAAAAUCUGUAAAAUACUUAUUUAAUCUCAGAGCUGCCUAAGAGACUGAUCAGUAUCUGGUAUAGUUACAGAUCAGCUCUGUGUUUGGAUUAAAGCUGCUUUAAACACCUGCUAAAGCAAUAAAAGCAAAUAUGAGUGAUAAUUCUGUUCAGUGAAUGAUUUAUUUAUAUAUGUAUCUGGAUAUGCUGGAAUUAUUCACAGAUUGCGUGAGAGUGUGUUAGAAACCACAAAAAUAAACACCCACACACAAAAACACUGAGGAACCUGAGGCACAAUGAGAACGUUAAUCCUGCAUGUUCAAAACUCAAUUUCACCAUCAGCUCUCCAUGAAACAUUCGCUUAAGGAUGAAUGGCAUAAUAAUGAUCUCAAGCAGAAAGUUUCGCAUGUGUCACCGGAGCUUUUUGGAGGGAGGUGUUUGGGAACACUGAGUAAACGCCUGCAGGCAGUCUUUGUUUUGAUACAACACUUAACAGCGGUGCAUAGCAGAACCUCCUAAACUCAAACUUUAUAUAAAAUACAUACUGAAUCACAAGAAAUAUUCUUCAUCUCUGAGUAAAUCUGCAAAAACUCCACAGGGAUCAUGUCCCUCCUUUAUAUUUACAUCUUGUUGUUGGCUGCCUGUGUGGAUGGUGAAGAUCCUCUAAUUACUGUAUCAGCUCGAGUGGGUUCCACAGUCAUCCUGCCAUGUAAACUGACUGAAGUGUUCACCCAAACAUCACUUAUUCGGUGGAAAAUGAACAAUGAGCUUGUAAUUGAGCGAAGCAUUAAUGCUACAAGUUCAGGUUCAGGAUAUGAGGGUCGUGUGGAUAUUCCUGUGGAUGAACUGCGUAAAGGAAACUGUUCCCUGGUUUUGAAGGACGUCAGAAUCACUGAAGACCGUUUUUACAAAACGUUUACAGUUGAAAAUGUGGACAGUACUAACCCUACAGAAGUGAAAGAAAUCACCAGGGUUAGACUCUCAGUAUAUGAGCUUGCAACAGAUGUUCAGCACAGGGCACCUGUGGAGCCACUAGAACAGGACAUGGUUCGAAUAGAAAGUGAAGGCUUGUCCCAGCAGAUAGUGUCAGAGGCAAUUCAGAUAUCAGCCCGAGUGGGUUCCACAGCUGUCCUGCCAUGUGAAUGGAGGAAUUUGUCCAUCCAAACACAUCAUGUUGAGUGGUAUGUUGAUUCCGAGAUUGUACUUGAGCGAGACGAUGAAGAGUUAUUUGUGGGUGUAGGAUACAAGGGGCGUUUGGAUGUUCCUAAGGACGAGCUUCUUAAAGGAAACUGUUCCCUGGUUUUGAAGAACGUCAGUGUUACUGAUGCUCUUGUCUACAGAAGUGCCAUGGUACUGCCCGAGACAAAAAAAUCUGUCUUGGUUCAGACGGUUAAACUGUCAGUUGAUGAGAUGAAAGAUGGAACAUCAAAUCAGUCAGGUGAAGCAGGAAUAAAUUGCCCUCGACCGCUGAUCCUCAUCAUUUCCUUCCUCAUGUAUUUACUUUUCUCAAGUUGAGGAAACAUCAGUGUGAUCUGCCUGAGUACAGAGACUUCCCUCAGCCCAAGAGAAUUCCCUAAAUUAUGCUGAAGUGAAUGAACACAUACAUCUAAAAUUCAAGUGAACUUCCUGACCGAACUGGAAAAGGUAAUCAAAAGAAUUUUGAAUACUCCAAAUGAUUUGCCUACAGUGGGCUAACGAAUCUAACAGUGAACACGCCUAACAGGAAGUGAAGCUGACUUUCUGCAUUGACAAAAUGGUAAGAAUCUUCAGGACUGUGACCUGAGGCUAUGCAACAUUUGUUGUUUCUUGUCAGUUACACAGACUGUUCAAAAUGACAUUAUCAUAACCAAAAAGGCUUCCGUCUCACUGCCAUUUUGCUGCUUUUGACACUUUAUUAUAUCAUAAAUCAUAAAAUAAUAAUCCAAAAGCCUGACAUUGAAUAUCACACAAAAUAUAGUCAUUUUGUUUAUUCAUUUUGUUUAAAAGGUUUUCUUCAUGUUUCAGGAAAACUUCAGUCAUGAAGUAGAAAUAUGAACAAUUAACAGACUACAGUAUGUCGUUCUUUCAGCCACUCCCUGUUUGCCUCAGUGGAUCAUCUGGUUCACCUAUUUGACUUGGCACAGGUUUUAUGCCAGAUGCCCUUCCACAUAAUUAUAUCAUUCAUUAGCCCAUUGUCCUCAGCAUCAUUUUUCUCCUCUUAUGUUUACUUUCCUCACACUGAGGGAGUAUUGGUGUGUUCUCUCUGACUACAUCUGGCUUAUAGAGUUAUAGAUUUCAGGGUGUUUCCUGUACAUGGAUUUUUUUUUUUACUAUAACUACAUUUAAGCUACAGUGAAUUCAUGACUGCAUUUAGAUAUUAUUAAACCUUAGAAGCUUUUUCCCCCCUUUCUUUUUUCCUCAGAAAGCCAUUUUCAGAGGCUGAAUGUUUGAUGUUUCAUUGUAUUUAUUUAUUUAUCCAAAUCACUCGGUUGGAGGGUUUUAGUCUGGUGUCUCAUACUAUGCUGCAGGACAGGAAAAUGAUUGGCCAAUAGCAGAUAUAUUUAAAUAUCUGAAAAUCUGUACAUCAUAGAUUUAUACUGAUUAAUAUUCACCGUUCUACUGGAAUAUCUCAGUUUAACUAACACAGUGAUUAUGUACAAUAAAGCUGAGAAAAACACUGACCAAUUAAAACUGAAACCACAUCGUGUAGAUUUUUUUCACUCCUUGAACUUUUCCCUAUUUUGUAGUGUUACAACUUGAAACUAAAAUGAAGUUUUGGAGGCUCUAAUCCGAACAAAUAAAUGAAUUUGUGCUCUAAAGUAGUACUUUUACUGUCCAUUAUUUAAUUGAAAGAUUUAAAGUGUUUAUCCACUGAUUUAUUAAAGAUUUUUUUAUGUGUCUGUACAGUGAAGAUUGCUUUUAUGAAAAAGUGUGUGUAGAGAUGUGACAGAACAUUUCCGGAAAAGUUCUUGAGAUAUUUUGAAGACAGAUAAGCUCAGAGAUAUAAAUCUGUGUCAAGCCAUGCAGAGUUUAAAAACAAAACCUUGCUUAUGAGCUGUACUUCACCUGCACCAGUUGGGACAGGGUUAACUGACAGAAUUGUAUGUAGAAGGAACUACAGUAAUCAGUUAAAAAGACGUACUAAUUUUGUACACAUCCUCAAUGCAGUUCAACUGCUUCUGUUCAGUAUUAGCUUUAGAUCAGUUAUAAUCCAGGUUUGACAAGUUCUACAGGACCUACUUUAACGUCGCAGGUGUCUUUUGAAGCAAAUCCAUGCCCAUCGGCACGCACUCUUAUAGGCUCUUGACCUGCUAAUUUGCGCAACUUGCAGCACCUGCGCAUGCUGUUUCUUAAACCGCAUAGUUUAAGGCUGCAAAAAAGUCUGCAAGUUCUGUCUUAACAUCAAACACAUAAACACAUUAAUAUUAAUCACUUUAGAUAUAGUAUAAGUUAAACCAGUGAAUCAUGCCCAGUGAAAGCAGAGCAAACAUAUCGAUAUAAAUGGGUGCCAUGACCAAACUAAUGGCUGAAAAACCACAGAUUCAACAACAGUUAACCAAAUAAAUGAACCUGCUCAUUGCCAAAAGGUUAAAAAGAAGGGUAAAUAUAUGAAAAUUUAUCUAUUGCAGAACACAGACUCCUCAGAUCGAUUUUUUCUUUUGACUUUUCUACAAGCACAUUCACUUGACAGCGAUGAGUAAAGCCAAUAUUUUGCCAUUCUCACCCCUUGUCCAGCCCCAAUCUCUAUCUGCUCCAGAUACGUGCCUGGCUUCCUGCCCAGGUCGCUCUAGAUGUCCUUUUGGAUAAUGGGCCCAGCUUGGUAAACCCCCCAAACAUCUGGUCUGAGCUUGCCCCUAUAUUCUAUAUUUUAGCAGAUCAAAUAUCUUUCUACAAUAUUACCCUGAUUUCAGGUGAACAGCACAGCCUAUAUGAAAAUCUUUAACUUUCUCCUUUGGCUAGCAGUGUAGCAGCUUUUUCCCACG
RNA transcript from Hemibagrus wyckioides, 7441 nucleotides. RefSeq lists it as uncharacterized. NCBI's taxonomy places the organism in Eukaryota, Metazoa, Chordata, Actinopteri, Siluriformes, Bagridae. The record is from RefSeq and is a predicted model, not a curated record. The transcript has 13 exons.